Molecule: ribosomal RNA, 680 nt
Filed under: Salmonella enterica subsp. enterica serovar Enteritidis
Lineage: Bacteria; Pseudomonadati; Pseudomonadota; Gammaproteobacteria; Enterobacterales; Enterobacteriaceae
Description: partial 23S ribosomal RNA
Rfam family: Bacterial large subunit ribosomal RNA
Source: RNAcentral
AGCACCCUUUGGGUGUGACUGCGUACCUUUUGUAUAAUGGGUCAGCGACUUAUAUUCUGUAGCAAGGUUAACCGAAUAGGGGAGCCGGAGGGAAACCGAGUCUUAACCGGGCGUUAAGUUGCAGGGUAUAGACCCGAAACCCGGUGAUCUAGCCAUGGGCAGGUUGAAGGUUGGGUAACACUAACUGGAGGACCGAACCGACUAAUGUUGAAAAAUUAGCGGAUGACCUGUGGCUGGGGGUGAAAGGCCAAUCAAACCGGGAGAUAGCUGGUUCUCCCCGAAAGCUAUUUAGGUAGCGCCUCGUGAAUUCAUCUCCGGGGGUAGAGCACUGUUUCGGCUAGGGGGCCAUCCCGGCUUACCAACCCGAUGCAAACUGCGAAUACCGGAGAAUGUUAUCACGGGAGACACACGGCGGGUGCUAACGUCCGUCGUGAAGAGGGAAACAACCCAGACCGCCAGCUAAGGUCCCAAAGUCAUGGUUAAGUGGGAAACGAUGUGGGAAGGCCCAGACAGCCAGGAUGUUGGCUUAGAAGCAGCCAUCAUUUAAAGAAAGCGUAAUAGCUCACUGGUCGAGUCGGCCUGCGCGGAAGAUGUAACGGGGCUAAACCAUGCACCGAAGCUGCGGCAGCGACACUGUGUGUUGUUGGGUAGGGGAGCGUUCUGUAAGCCUGUGAAGGUGU